GAUGAAGAACGUAGCGAAAUGCGAUAAUUAAUGUGAAUUGCAGAAUUUAGUGAAUCAUCGAAUCUUUGAACGCACAUUGCGCCCCUUGGUAUUCCGGGGGGCAUGCCUGUUCGAGCGUCAUUUCAACCCUCAAGCACAGCUUGGUGUUGGGACUCGCGUUAAUUCGCGUUCCCCAAAUUGAUUGGCGGUCACGUCGAGCUUCCAUAGCGUAGUAGUAAAACCCUCGUUACUGGUAAUCGUCGCGGCCACGCCGUUAAACCCCAACUUCUGAAUGUUGACCUCGGAUCAGGUAGGAAUACCCGCUGAACUUAAGCAUAUCAAUAAGCGGAGGA
RNAcentral lists this unclassified non-coding RNA (332 nucleotides) under soil metagenome. RNAcentral describes it as "partial contains 5.8S ribosomal RNA, internal transcribed spacer 2, and large subunit ribosomal RNA". The stretch from base 1 to 120 matches the Rfam family "5.8S ribosomal RNA", at positions 35 to 154 of the family's 154-position model. The record is from RNAcentral.